CCGAGUUUACAACUCCCAAACCCAAUGUGAACCAUACCAAACUGUUGCCUCGGCGGGGUCACGCCCCGGGUGCGUCGCAGCCCCGGAACCAGGCGCCCGCCGGAGGGACCAACCAAACUCUUUUCUGUAGUCCCCUCGCGGACGUUAUUUCUUACAGCUCUGAGCAAAAAUUCAAAAUGAAUCAAAACUUUCAACAACGGAUCUCUUGGUUCUGGCAUCGAUGAAGAACGCAGCGAAAUGCGAUAAGUAAUGUGAAUUGCAGAAUUCAGUGAAUCAUCGAAUCUUUGAACGCACAUUGCGCCCGCCAGUAUUCUGGCGGGCAUGCCUGUCCGAGCGUCAUUUCAACCCUCGAACCCCUCCGGGGGGUCGGCGUUGGGGACCUCGGGAGCCCCUAAGACGGGAUCCCGGCCCCGAAAUACAGUGGCGGUCUCGCCGCAGCCUCUCCUGCGCAGUAGUUUGCACAACUCGCACCGGGAGCGCGGCGCGUCCACGUCCGUAAAACACCCAACUUCUGAAAUGUGACCUCGGAUCAGGUAGAUGCCCCAGC
This 547-nucleotide ribosomal RNA is filed under the name Trichoderma atroviride. RNAcentral's name for it is "eukaryotic LSU rRNA". The stretch from base 186 to 339 matches the Rfam family "5.8S ribosomal RNA". Lineage: Eukaryota; Fungi; Ascomycota; Sordariomycetes; Hypocreales; Hypocreaceae. The record is from RNAcentral.